GCUUAACCUUGAACCAGCUUCAAGGCCUUCAUGUCAGCAUUAGCAGACAGAGCCCCCUGCUGGAAGUUCUGGGGACCAGAUUUCCAUUGGAAAUGGAGGGCUCAACUGGAUCCCAGCGCCUUGUCCUGCCUUGGAGAGCAGAGUGGAGGGCUUGGGGGCUGAGACCCGGAGAAGGACAGGCGGGCUACAGCCCAUAGGCUGUAAAGAGGGUCGUAAAGAGUCAGACACGACGGAGCGAGUGGACAACAGCAAAACACCCAAACACUGCACGCUUCACCCUCCCCGCCACCCGACUCCUCAAGGCCUUCCAUUCAUUAGUCCGGGAGGGCGGCUCUGUUGAUUAUCCCUCCAUCGACUCCUUUUCCAGGCAUGAUCUGAGGCCCAUCCUGUCAAAAUAAA
Molecule: long non-coding RNA, 399 nt
Organism: Cervus elaphus (red deer)
Lineage: Eukaryota; Metazoa; Chordata; Mammalia; Artiodactyla; Cervidae
Exons: 3
Source: RefSeq, a predicted model, not a curated record